RNAcentral lists this unclassified non-coding RNA (240 nucleotides) under soil metagenome. RNAcentral describes it as "partial contains 5.8S ribosomal RNA, internal transcribed spacer 2, and large subunit ribosomal RNA". The record is from RNAcentral.
AACAAGGCGUACCUGCGGACCUGCGGAGGGAUCAUUACCGAGUGUGAACCCCCCCGUAAAAAAGAGGGGUUACCUCCCGUCCUUUGCUGGGAACCCCUUUCCAACUUGGAAGGAGGUUGUUUUCAGACCCUUCUGCUUCGGUGGGGUAACCCACCGGAACAACCUCAAAAAUAUUCUCAAUUCAAAACCGUUCAGUCCGAGAACUUUUUUGAAAAGCGAAAAAACUUUUAGCAAUGGAUC